This 431-nucleotide unclassified non-coding RNA is filed under the name plant metagenome. RNAcentral's name for it is "partial contains 5.8S ribosomal RNA, internal transcribed spacer 2, and large subunit ribosomal RNA". The stretch from base 1 to 102 matches the Rfam family "5.8S ribosomal RNA", at positions 50 to 154 of the family's 154-position model. The record is from RNAcentral.
AAACUGCGAUAAGUAGUGUGAAUUGCAUUUAGUGAAUCAUCGAAUCUUUGAACGCACCCUGCACUCACUGGUAUUCCGGUGAGUACGCCUGUUUCAGUAUCAUUGAAAACACACAAUCAAAACAUUUUCUUUGGUUUGAUUGGCUUUGGGUCUAUCAAAAGGUUUGGCUUGUUUCUUACAAGCCAAGCGGCCUGAAAUAUAUUGUCUGGCUAAUUGCAUCGUUGAUGAUCGCUAUUAGACUUUGGCUUUUUUAAAUGAACUGGAGGUUGAUUAACCAGUUUUAGCUUUAGUCAAAUGGUCAUUGUAAAAAAAAUCUCGAUCUUGGCUAGGUGUUUAUAGCCGAAAAUUUUUUUUUGGCUAUAACCGAAACCAAUAUAAUCACAUUUAGUUAUCGAUCUGAAAUCAGGUGGGACUACCCGCUGAACUUAAGC